AAAGACUUGACGGUACUUCAUAACAACCUAGAGGAGCCUGUCUAACAACCGAUACCCCACGAUUAACCCAACCCACCCUAGCCUAAACAGUCUAUAUACCACCGUCGCCAGCUUACCUUGUGAAAGGAAAAAAGUAAGCAAAACAAGCCACCCUUAACACGACAGGUCGAGGUGUAACUUAUGGGUGGGUAAAAGAUGGGCUACAUUUUCUGUCACAGAAAAUACGGACAAAUUAUGAAAUUUAAAAACUGAAGGCGGAUUUAGCAGUAUGUUAAGAAUAGAAUGCCUAACUGAAACCAAUGUAAUGAAGUGUGUACACACCGCCCGUCAUCCCUG
Molecule: ribosomal RNA, 336 nt
Filed under: Apostolepis albicollaris
Lineage: Eukaryota; Metazoa; Chordata; Lepidosauria; Squamata; Dipsadidae
Description: partial small subunit ribosomal RNA
Source: RNAcentral